GGUUCUGGUUCAGGUUCUGGUUCAGGUUCUGGUCCAGGUUCUGGACGUGGUUCUGGUUCAGGUUCAGGCUCGGGUUCUGCAAAAUGUCUUCUAGCAUGAUGAGCAAGAGGUUCUGGUUCUGGUUCCGGUUCUGGUCCUGGUUCUGGUCCUGGUUCUGGUCCUGGCUCUGGCCUUGGUUCUGGUUCUGGUUCUG
Molecule: long non-coding RNA, 193 nt
Organism: Sitophilus oryzae (rice weevil)
Lineage: Eukaryota; Metazoa; Arthropoda; Insecta; Coleoptera; Curculionidae
Exons: 2
Source: RefSeq, a predicted model, not a curated record